Molecule: ribosomal RNA, 467 nt
Filed under: uncultured bacterium
Lineage: Bacteria
Description: bacterial SSU rRNA
Rfam family: Bacterial small subunit ribosomal RNA
Source: RNAcentral
ACUAAUGAUCUUUUAGUGGCGGACGGGUUAGUAACGCGUGAGCAACCUGCCUUAAAGAGGGGGAUAGUCCUGGGAAACUGGGUUUAAUACCGCAUAAGCCCCGCCCUUUAUUGGGUUGGGUAAAGUGGCCUUCGGGUCAUGCUUUAAGAUGGGCUCGCGUCCUAUCAGCUUGUUGGUGAGGUAAUGGCUCACCAAGGCGACGACGGGUAGUUGGUCUGAGAGGACGAUCAGCAACACUGGAACUGAGACACGGUCCAGACACCUACGGGUGGCAGCAGUCGAGAAUCAUUCACAAUGGACGAAAGUCUGAUGGUGCAACGCCGCGUGUGGAAUGAAGGCCUUAGGGUCGUAAACCACUGUCAUGUGAGAGUAAGACAUAUUAGUUAAUACCUGGUAUGUUUGAUAGUAUCACAAGAGGAAGGGACGGCUAACUUCGUGCCAGCAGCCGCGGUAAUACGAAGGUCCCG